GAGGAUAUAGCUCAGUGGUAGAGUGUGUGCCUAGCAUGCACAAGGUCCUGGGUUCAAUCCUCAGUACCUCCA
This 72-nucleotide transfer RNA is filed under the name Camelus bactrianus (Bactrian camel). It matches the Rfam family "tRNA". From Rfam's summary of the family: Transfer RNA (tRNA) molecules are approximately 80 nucleotides in length. Their secondary structure includes four short double-helical elements and three loops (D, anti-codon, and T loops). RNAcentral also lists the same sequence under 2 other names. The record is from Rfam by way of RNAcentral. Lineage: Eukaryota; Metazoa; Chordata; Mammalia; Artiodactyla; Camelidae.